GUCCACACCCUAAACGAUGUUUACUCGUUGUUUGGCUUUAGGGCUGAGCGACCAAGCGAAAGCGUUAAGUAAACCACCUGGGGAGUAUGCCGGCAACGGUGAAACUAAAAGGAAUUGACGGGGGGUCCGCACAAGCGGUGGAGUAUGUGGUUUAAUUCGAUGAUACGCGAGGAACCUUACCUGGGCUAGAAUGUGAGUGAAUGCGUAUGAAAGUAUGCAGUCAGCAAGGACACAAAACAAGGUGCUGCAUGGCUGUCGU
This 259-nucleotide ribosomal RNA is filed under the name uncultured bacterium. Its description in RNAcentral is "partial 16S ribosomal RNA". It matches the Rfam family "Bacterial small subunit ribosomal RNA", at positions 793 to 1055 of the family's 1533-position model. The record is from RNAcentral.